RNAcentral lists this ribosomal RNA (425 nucleotides) under uncultured bacterium. Its description in RNAcentral is "bacterial SSU rRNA". It matches the Rfam family "Bacterial small subunit ribosomal RNA", at positions 356 to 773 of the family's 1533-position model. The record is from RNAcentral.
GGGGAAUAUUGCACAAUGGGCGAAAGCCUGAUGCAGCAACGCCGCGUGGAGGAUGAAGGCCUUCGGGUCGUAAAGCUCUGUUGUCAGGGAAGAACAAGUAUCGGAGUAACUGCCGGUACCUUGACGGUACCUGACCAGAAAGCCACGGCUAACUACGUGCCAGCAGCCGCGGUAAUACGUAGGUGGCAAGCGUUGUCCGGAAUUAUUGGGCGUAAAGCGCGCGCAGGCGGUCCUUUAAGUCUGAUGUGAAAGCCCACGGCUCAACCGUGGAGGGUCAUUGGAAACUGGGGGACUUGAGUGCAGAAGAGGAAAGCGGAAUUCCACGUGUAGCGGUGAAAUGCGUAGAGAUGUGGAGGAACACCAGUGGCGAAGGCGGCUUUCUGGUCUGUAACUGACGCUGAGGCGCGAAAGCGUGGGGAGCAAAC